UACAGAGGUAGCUAACGUUGUCCGGAUUCACUGGGCAUAAAGGGAUCGUAGGUGGCCUGAUAAGUCAGAUGUGAAAUCUUCUCGCUUAACGGGAAAAUUGCAUUUGAUACUGUCUGGCUUGAGUGCGAGAGGAGAAAAUGGAAUUUCCGGUGUAGCGGUAAAAUGCGUAGAUAUCGGAAAGAACACCAGUGGCGAAGGCGGUUUUCUAUUUCGCAACUGACACUGAGGAUCGAAAGCCAGGGGAGCAAACGGG
This 253-nucleotide ribosomal RNA is filed under the name uncultured bacterium. RNAcentral's name for it is "partial 16S ribosomal RNA". It matches the Rfam family "Bacterial small subunit ribosomal RNA", at positions 524 to 776 of the family's 1533-position model. The record is from RNAcentral.